UACGUAGGGUGCGAGCGUUUAAUCGGAAUUACUGGGCGUAAAGCGUGCGCAGGCGGUUUUGUAAGCCAGGUGUGAAAUCCCCGGGCUCAACCUGGGAAUGGCAUUUGGGACUGCAAGGCUGGAGUGCGGCAGAGGAGACUGGAAUUCCUGGUGUAGCAGUGAAAUGCGUAGAUAUCAGGAGGAACACCGAUGGCGAAGGCAGGUCUCUGGGCUGACACUGACGCUCAUGCACGAAAGCGUGGGGGAGCAAACAGG
This 255-nucleotide ribosomal RNA is filed under the name uncultured bacterium. RNAcentral describes it as "partial 16S ribosomal RNA". It matches the Rfam family "Bacterial small subunit ribosomal RNA", at positions 524 to 776 of the family's 1533-position model. The record is from RNAcentral.